This 102-nucleotide small nuclear RNA is filed under the name Nannospalax galili (Upper Galilee mountains blind mole rat). Lineage: Eukaryota; Metazoa; Chordata; Mammalia; Rodentia; Spalacidae. The record is from RNAcentral.
ACACUUUGGAAGCGCAUGUACUUAAACUGGAACUAUACAGAGAAGAUUAGCAUUGCCAUGGACUAGGAUGGCAUGCAAAUUCACCAGCACUCCAUAGUUUUC